AUACAGAUGACGAGUCCCGAAUAGAACGACAUGUACAUCCUGGAU
This is a non-coding RNA of Trichobilharzia regenti, 45 nucleotides long. NCBI's taxonomy places the organism in Eukaryota, Metazoa, Platyhelminthes, Trematoda, Strigeidida, Schistosomatidae. The record is from Rfam.